Haliotis rufescens (red abalone) is the source of this 598-nucleotide long non-coding RNA. RefSeq lists it as uncharacterized. The record is from RefSeq and is a predicted model, not a curated record. Lineage: Eukaryota; Metazoa; Mollusca; Gastropoda; Lepetellida; Haliotidae. The transcript is spliced from 3 exons.
AUAGCGGCUGAGAUAAGACGGUUAGGUUCAUAUACUCACUAUGGGCACCCAGUAUAGCGGCUGAGAUAAGACGGUGAGGUUCAUAUACUCACUAUGGGCACCCAGGAUAGGGGUGAGUGGGUUAGGUUCAUAUACUCACUAUGGGCACCCAGUAUAGCGGCUGAGAUAAGACGGUGAGGUUCAUAUUCUCACUAUGGGCACCCAGGAUAGGGGUGAGUGGGUUAGGUUCAUAUUCUCACUAUGGGCACCCAGUAUAGCGGCUGAGAUAAGACGGUUAGGUUCAUAUACUCACUAUGGGCACCCAGGAUAGCGGCUGAGAUAAGACGGUGAGGUUCAUAUACUCACUAUGGGCACCCAGGAUAGGGGUGAGUGGGUUAGGUUCAUAUACUCACUAUGGGCACCCAGUAUAGCGGCUGAGAUAAGACGGUUAGGUUCAUAUACUCACUAUGGGCACCCAGUAUAGCGGCUGAGAUAAGACGGUGAGGUUCAUAUUCUCACUAUGGGCACCCAGUAUAGCGGCUGAGAUAAGACGGUUAGGUUCAUAUACUCACUGUGGGCACCCAGUAUAGCGGCUGAGAUAAGACGGUCAGGUUCAUAU